UACCAGUACACCAUCUUUACUCCAGUCAUUCAAGGAUACACAGUUCUAUUCAAAGACAUUUACUGAAAUGGCAUGAUCACCUUGCCUAUAUUGAAAUUACCAAAUUGGAGAGAUCUUAAUUUCAUCCCUCAGGAUCCUCCUGAACCUUUCCCAAUAGAAGAGGGUCAUGGGAGGUGAAGAUAUGAAUCUGAGGAAGAGCUGGCACCCACAAACCUCCCAAAAUGUGGAGAAAAAGUAUGGAAGGCUGAGCUGAUGUGGAAUGGAAAAAGAUUGAGGAGCUGCAGUGGGAGCUUCAGGAAGAGAGGGCAAGGGAGGAGAUGCAAUGCUAUGCACAGGAUGUGAGAGCUGUCAAAAAAAAAAAAAGAAAAAAGAAAAUGAAAACUGGAAUGGAUGUACCGGGGGCU
This 404-nucleotide long non-coding RNA is filed under the name Monodelphis domestica (gray short-tailed opossum). RNAcentral describes it as "lncRNA (ENSMODG00000044829.1)". Lineage: Eukaryota; Metazoa; Chordata; Mammalia; Didelphimorphia; Didelphidae. The record is from RNAcentral.